UGAACGCUGGCGGCGUGCUUAACACAUGCAAGUCGAACGAUGAAGCCCAGCUUGCUGGGUGGAUUAGAGGCGAACGGGUGAGUAACACGUGAGUAACCUGCCCUUGACUCUGGGAUAAGCCUGGGAAACUGGGUCUAAUACUGGAUAUGACUUCUCAUCGCAUGGUGGGGGGUGGAAAGAUUUAUUGGUCUUGGAUGGACUCGCGGCCUAUCAGCUUGUUGGUGAGGUAAUGGCUCACCAAGGCGACGACGGGUAGCCGGCCUGAGAGGGUGACCGGCCACACUGGGACUGAGACACGGCCCAGACUCCUACGGGAGGCAGCAGUGGGGAAUAUUGCACAAUGGGCGCAAGCCUGAUGCAGCGACGCCGCGUGAGGGAUGACGGCCUUCGGGUUGUAAACCUCUUUCAGUAGGGAAGAAGCGAGAGUGACGGUACCUGCAGAAGAAGCGCCGGCUAACUACGUG
RNAcentral lists this ribosomal RNA (464 nucleotides) under uncultured bacterium. Its description in RNAcentral is "partial 16S ribosomal RNA". It matches the Rfam family "Bacterial small subunit ribosomal RNA", at positions 30 to 507 of the family's 1533-position model. The record is from RNAcentral.